This 465-nucleotide ribosomal RNA is filed under the name uncultured bacterium. RNAcentral's name for it is "bacterial SSU rRNA". It matches the Rfam family "Bacterial small subunit ribosomal RNA", at positions 331 to 792 of the family's 1533-position model. The record is from RNAcentral.
CCAGACUCCUACGGGAGGCAGCAGUGAGGAAUAUUGGUCAAUGGGCUUACGCCUGAACCAGCCAAGUCGCGUGAGGGAAGACUGCCCUAUGGGUUGUAAACCUCUUUUGUCAGGGAGCAACGCCGGCUACGUGUAGCCGGACUGAGAGUACCUGAAGAAAAAGCAUCGGCUAACUCCGUGCCAGCAGCCGCGGUAAUACGGAGGAUGCGAGCGUUAUCCGGAUUUACUGGGUGUAAAGGGCGUGCAGCCGGGCUGACAAGUCAGAUGUGAAAUCCGCGGGCUUAACCCGCGAACUGCAUUUGAAACUAUUGGUCUUGAGUGCCGGAGAGGUAAUCGGAAUUCCUUGUGUAGCGGUGAAAUGCGUAGAUAUAAGGAAGAGCACCAGUGGCGAAGGCGGAUUACUGGACGGUAACUGACGGUGAGGCGCGAAAGCGUGGGGAGCAAACAGGAUUAGAUACCCUCGUA